RNAcentral lists this ribosomal RNA (484 nucleotides) under uncultured bacterium. RNAcentral's name for it is "partial 16S ribosomal RNA". It matches the Rfam family "Bacterial small subunit ribosomal RNA", at positions 30 to 507 of the family's 1533-position model. The record is from RNAcentral.
AUUGAACGCUGGCGGCAGGCCUAACACAUGCAAGUCGAGCGGACGAACGGGGCUUGCUCGCGGAUUCCGCUGCCGACGGGCGGGUGAUUCAUACGUAUCUGCCCUGCCUCUAGGGAUGGGGUCCCGACACGGGCGCUAAUCCCAUACACGACCAUAUGGCGAACCUGGGGGAUCAUGGGACCUCACGCUUUUUGCUGAGCCUAGGACGGAUUAGCUAGUUGGUUGGGUAAAGGCUUACCAAGGCGACGAUGCGUAACUGGUCUGAGAGGAUGAUCAGUCACACUGGAACUGAGACACGGUCCAGACUCCUACGGGAGGCAGCAGUGGGGAAUAUUGGGCAAUGGGCGAAAGCCUGAUCGAGCAAUGCCGCGUGAGUGAAGAAGGUCUUCGGAUUGUAAAGCACUGUAAGUAGGGAGGAAGAAAAGUACGUUUAUACCUGGCUGUUUUGACGGUACCAAAAGAAUAAGCACCGGCUAACUUCGUG